Daphnia pulicaria is the source of this 1159-nucleotide long non-coding RNA. RefSeq lists it as uncharacterized. The transcript has 2 exons. Lineage: Eukaryota; Metazoa; Arthropoda; Branchiopoda; Diplostraca; Daphniidae. The record is from RefSeq and is a predicted model, not a curated record.
UUCCACAUUUUAUUAGGAUCAACUCAUCCUUGUUAAAAAUUCUUUUUCCUUUCUUUUUUAACAAACAAUACUUGUUCAACCGAACACAAAACGUCAUGCUUAUAAGGAAACGAUCGAAAUGUCUAAAAGUUCAACUAUUUUUAAUUCAAUUCAAAUUCAAUUAAUUUAGGGAUCAUUAGGCGAUCCAACUGUUUGAAAUGGAGACUCGACUAGGAUCCUUAAACACGCUAGUUGAAAUCUGUGAUCUGCUGAUAGAAUUUAAAAUCAAACAAGUCGCUAAUAAACUAAAAAUUCUUGUUUUUCAUUUGAAAAAGUUGUGCAAGACCGGGGGGAGUGACGGGUUCCUAGUAAGAGCACAGCCAUUUCAUUGUGGGGUGAAAAAUGAGCGCACGAGUGUAAUAAUCGUCCCGUUAAUAAGGCUGCAUAACUGAAUUUUUGGCCAAUCGCGAUUCACUGCUAAUUAGUACCCCCUAAGGCCCCUAUACCCUAGUGAGUGCUGAUAAUGGAGACAUAACAACGCUGCAGUAAUGCGAUUUGGCUACUGGAUCAGUUACUGAGUGCUAUUUAAUCAAGGUACAAUCAGAGACGUGGGGCAGAUAAGAGAAGAGGCGCAAACAAGAUCCUGCAAGUCACUUAGUGAAAAAAACAAAUAACCGGUGACAGUGUCAUGUGAUUGUUUGUCAUCAAACGUUGAAAUAACAAGUUGUUUGUUUUUGGUAGCACCGGCAAGCACAGGCAAAUAAGAAAAGGAAGAAGCUAUAAACAACUAACCUUUUGUCAUGUUAUUUCCAGUGUUGGAUUGGAUGAUGAAUACACGUCAACGGUUGGAUUUCCAUCGAGUUGACUGGAACAUUGCCCCAGCUGAUUCUUUGGCACGAAACUUUGGCUGCAAUCAACACACAACAGUCAUGAAACCUAUGAAGAAAAAAUAGAAUAAGUCAUGCAAUAAAUGUGACACCUUGUUCUUGUUAGUUUCUCACGGAUCCAAAUGACGUCGAAUUCGUCCUGCUCGCCGUCUCGUCGUGGGAAUCUCCAUGAUGACAUUUACCACAAGAUAUUGGUGAGAGACCGUUAACGAGACUAUGGCUGUCACCAAAAGUUACGUACGGUAUAUUAUUACAAUUGCCGAUUAUUGUGAGGGAAGAAUUAUGGCGGGAAA